GGCAGGUAUUCAGAGCAUCUGGAGAACGUCUCCUAUGGCCAGACAUCUGCAUCAGCAAGCUCACUGGGGACCUGCCAGGCUCUUCACUGGUGACAUGGAGGAUGAUGGUCUCCAGCCCCGUCUGCAGACUUAGCUGUGACCUGGCCCAGAUCCAUGGCCUGCCAAAGCAGGAGACCUCCACAGUUCUGCACCUAAUGGGGACAGUCCUCCUUGUUUUCCUGCCUGAAGGACAGGAAUGCUUUGGGGUUCCCCAAAAGCUGAACAGCAGCCAGUUCCAAAAAGCUCAGGCCACCUCUUUCUCCAUGAGAUGAUCCAGCCGAGCUUCAACUUGUUUGGCACAAACAGCUGAAAUUCUUCACUGGGCUUGAUCAGCAGGAGGAAGCUCUGCAGACCAGUUUGGUGCAGGAGCCUGGGGAAGAAAAGACCUUCCUGGAAAUGAGGACUCUAGCCUGACUUUGAAUAACUCCUUUUGAAGGACCAGGUUACAUCUGAAAAGAAAGUAUAGCCGCUGUGCGUGGGACAUCGUCAGACUGGAAGUUAAGCAUGCAGAAUUUCCCAUCCCAGGAUCAAACCAACACCACAGCAGUGACAACACCAGAUCCUAAAUCCACUGAGACCAUCAGGGAACUCCCAAUAGUGGAGUUCUUUAAAUAAGUAAGAAAGUGACAAUGCAAAGCUGUAGCAGCAUUUGUUGUGGAAAGGAAAUUCAGAGAAGAAACUUGAAUUUCCAGUGGAUGUGAUGGGAAAGGCUGUCUCCUGUCCUCAUGAGCUGGUCUUGAAGCUAAAGUCUCAGCUCCACAUCUGAUCUCAGCUCUGCUCUGUGAUGCUGGGGCUCCACUGCCAUCCACCACAUUUCUCCUCUGCCAGUAGGUUUAUUUCCUUUUAAAGUGCUUCCAUACAAGUCCCAAGAGAUGGGCUAGAAGGCUUGAGGAAAUUUUCUGUUUUCCUGACUGGGCUGUGACUGAAAACAGUGACCAUCAAUAGGAAAAGGACAACUAGUGGAUCUUCUAGAUGCUAUUUGUCAACUACCAGGUUGGCAGAAACUAAGAAGGAGUGAUAAGAUCCUGUUUUGGCCAAUGCCUAGAAACAUAUAUAAACGUAUACACUCUCAAAUAUGAUUAAUAUAGUCAUUGUCAUCGUGGACAGUUGGCAGUAUAUGUUUGCAAUAUGUGUGUAUUUUGACCAAGAAAUUUUGCUUCAUGACACCUUCUUCAGAGAAAGACUCUCCCUUGGAUAUAAGACACCUGCAUGAUAACUGUAGCAACUUAUUUUUUAAACUUAAAAACAACUAAGAAAAUGUCAACUAGACAAUGUGG
Molecule: long non-coding RNA, 1316 nt
Filed under: Sus scrofa (pig)
Lineage: Eukaryota; Metazoa; Chordata; Mammalia; Artiodactyla; Suidae
Description: lncRNA (ENSSSCG00050061777.1)
Source: RNAcentral